GGAAUGUGGAAAUGGUGAAGUAAGUUUGCUUUAGGCGUUCCUGGAGUUAGACACAGAGCUAGGCACACAAUGGUAGGGAAGACGGAUGUUCUGUGUUUAAAAGGCAGUCAGCCCUGUGGAUGGCAUAGAGCCUUCACUUAAUGGGCUAGAUAGAUUCUGGCUUGUGCAGAGGAAAUCAGUCAAGACCACAUGAAGAAAGGAAGAAGACCAGGUUUGAUGUGGAGGCUGAUGAGUUUAGUCAUGGUUAUGUUGAGCAUAGAAUGUGCAGUUGGCUGUUGAAUGAAUGGAACUUAAUCUCAACAGUCACCUGAGUUGAAGAUAGAGUUUGAGGAGUCAUCCCAAUAUGGAUAGCAUUUGUUGUAAAUUAGAAGGUGGUAAAAACUUGCCUUUGGAAAAAAGUUUAAAAAUUGCAGUGAGACUUAUGAAUACUCUUCAACUUCACCUGUUGGAAUAAAGGUCUUUCUUGUAAUCAGGAGAUCCUGUUGACAUGAUAAAACAGAAAGAGUCAAAGAGGAUCAGAAAUAAAUGAAAUCUCUGACAACUAAACUGCUUAUGUGUUUAUCCUGUUGACUGAUUCUUUUCUGGAUUGUGCUCCUUGUGGGCAGGUUUAUUCUACAGGCCCCCAUUCAUUCCUCAGGAGUAACGCAGAAGGGACACUGACCAGCACAGCAGAGAGGGAGGUGUUUAAAAUGGAUUCUGUGGGUGUAGAGCCACUGUUUUCCCUGCAAAUGGUCUAGCAAAUCAACAGACUAUGUCCUCCUCUCCUACGUUUUGUCUGACAAGCAGCAUUUUUUUAAUAAAAGACAGGUGAACGAGUAAAUGAAUGCAGUGCAGAUCCAGUGCAGAUAGCUGCCUGCUGGCUGUGUUGGAACCAGGGAGACGUCAAAUGGUCCUCUAUCCUGAGCUUGGCUGCUUCAGGACAUCUCUAUUGCAGAUUAUAGUCUGGCUCGCAGCUGGCCAGAAGAGGCAGUGCACUGACAGACCACGUGGGGCUUACAUGAAGGGUGCAGUAGAUCUAACCAAUGAUGGUCACAAAUACAGUGAUGGACACUGGGAUGUGGUGGCCCUCAUCAGUGUGAGUGAACUGCACCAGGAGACUAUGGCUCAGCAGGAGCUCAGCUGAUCUGGGAACACCUGCUGGCCUGGGAAUGUCCUGAAGAUGGCAGAGAUUAAGAGCUCCUAAUCUGCAAGACUGGAUUAGAUGAUGUAUGUGCUUACUACGUGUUCUUGACAAAUGGGGUAGUGAGCAAAAACUGCAAGUCAUGUAGCUGGAGCAUGUGCAGAAGAUGGAAACUUUGUCCUCAGAUGACCUCGAGAUGCCUAGGAACAAAAAGUUCCCUAACUACGGAACUUAAUGUGAAGAGAAAAAGGAACAAGGAAUAUAAUGAGAAGCAAGGAGUCCCUUGAUUCGUAGCACACUGGACUUAUAAGACCCUUACAUUCCUACCAUCCAAUCAGAAGCCAUCAAGCUGUCCUUUUGCAUAACCACUCCCACUCCCAACUCCUUAAAUGUCUGUCCCCACUAAAGGAGACAGAUUUGAGCUUUGCCUUCUGUCUCCUUGCUGGCCAGCCUUGCAAUAAAGCUCUUUCUCUUCUCAAAAGCCUGUGCAAUAGUCUUGGCUUCUACGUGCAUUGGGCAGUAGACCCUUGCUCGGUAACAGAACUGUGUCCUGAAUCGCUGUCUUUUCUAAGUAAUCAUGUGAUCCUCAGAUAGCCAUGACUUCUAGGGAGAAGAGUACUGGGCAUAUCAGAGACUGGGGCUUACAAAGAUAACAUGAAUUGCUCAAGGUCACAACGUAGGUAAAUUCCAGAGCUGAGAUUCAAAUCUACAGCAAUCUGAUCCCAAAUGCAGUGCUCUUAGCCAAGAG
Long non-coding RNA from Equus caballus (horse), 1868 nucleotides. Lineage: Eukaryota; Metazoa; Chordata; Mammalia; Perissodactyla; Equidae. The record is from Ensembl.